CACGUAGGGGGCGAGCGUUGUCCGGAUUUAUUGGGCGUAAAGAGCUCGUAGGCGGCUCGGUAAGUCAACUGUGAAAGCUCCGGGCUCAACUCGGAGAGGCCAGUUGAUACUGCUGUGGCUAGAGUCCGGUAGGGGAGCGUGGAAUUCCUGGUGUAGCGGUGAAAUGCGCAGAGAUCAGGAGGAACACCAGCGGCGAAGGCGGCGCUCUGGGCCGGAACUGACGCUGAGGAGCGAAAGCGUGGGUAGCAAACAGG
Molecule: ribosomal RNA, 254 nt
Filed under: uncultured bacterium
Lineage: Bacteria
Description: partial 16S ribosomal RNA
Rfam family: Bacterial small subunit ribosomal RNA
Source: RNAcentral